UACGUAGGGUGCAGGCGUUAUUCGGAAUUACUGGGCGUAAAGCGUGCGCAGGCGGUUUGCCAAGUUAGGUGUGAAAUCCCCGGGCUUAACCUGGGAACUGCGCUUGUAACUGGCAAGCUAGAGUGUGGCAGAGGGGGGUGGAAUUCCAGGUGUAGCAGUGAAAUGCGUAGAGAUCUGGAGGAACACCGAUGGCGAAGGCAGCCCCCUGGGCUAACACUGACGCUCAUACGCGAAAGCGUGGGGAGCAAACAGG
RNAcentral lists this ribosomal RNA (253 nucleotides) under uncultured bacterium. RNAcentral's name for it is "partial 16S ribosomal RNA". It matches the Rfam family "Bacterial small subunit ribosomal RNA", at positions 524 to 776 of the family's 1533-position model. The record is from RNAcentral.